AUUGAACGCUGGCGGCAGGCCUAACACAUGCAAGUCGAACGAGUGGCGGACGGGUGAGUAAUGUCUGGGAAACUGCCCGAUGGAGGGGGAUAACUACUGGAAACGGUAGCUAAUACAGCAUACCAUCGGAGGUGCCCAGAUGGGAUUAGCUAGUAGGUGGGGUAACGGCUCACCUAGGCGACGAACACUAGCUGGUCUGAGAGGAUGACCAGCCACACUGGAACUGAGACACGGUCCAGACUCCUACGGAAGGCAGCAGUGGGGAAUAUUGCACAAUGGGAGCAAGCCUGAUGCAGCCAUGCCGCGUGUAUGAAGAAGGCCUUCGGGUUGUAAAGUACUUUCAGCGAGGAGGCGGUACUCGCAGAAGAAGCACCGGCUAACUCCGUGCCAGCCGCCGCGGUAAUUC
Molecule: ribosomal RNA, 406 nt
Filed under: uncultured bacterium
Lineage: Bacteria
Description: partial 16S ribosomal RNA
Rfam family: Bacterial small subunit ribosomal RNA
Source: RNAcentral